GGUUCCGGCCAUAUCAGCCUGAAGGCGCCUGAUCUCGUCUGAUCGCCGAAGCUAAGCAGGGUCGGGCCUGCUUAAAAAAAAAAAAAAGAUUCUCACUCUUAGCCUCUGCUCCAGCUA
This 117-nucleotide ribosomal RNA is filed under the name Bos indicus x Bos taurus (hybrid cattle). Lineage: Eukaryota; Metazoa; Chordata; Mammalia; Artiodactyla; Bovidae. The record is from RNAcentral.